Molecule: long non-coding RNA, 938 nt
Organism: Cyprinus carpio carpio
Lineage: Eukaryota; Metazoa; Chordata; Actinopteri; Cypriniformes; Cyprinidae
Source: Ensembl
AAAAUCCUGACCACUGUAUAAGUUUGAUAAAAAUGGAAAAUUACUGACAGGUGUAGCACGCGUUGCUUUUUGUAGUCGCUGAAAAAUGACGCAACCGGAGCGUAUAAAAGAGCCCGUCCCCCGCAUGACGUUCUCUUGAGUCGUUGCUAUCGCUUGACGAGAACCAUCUUCUCAUCAUGAGAGCGAAGUGGCGAAAGAAGCGCAUGCGCAGGCUGAAGCGUAAAAGGAGAAAGAUGAGGCAGAGGUCAAAGUAAACUGGACCCUGUUUGCUGAAGCUGAGAGUGCUCCUCCACUUCAAUCUCCUCAGCAAGAGUCUGCUGGAAGCCCAACUGAAGCUCCACUCAUCCACCAUCUGUGAGGCCUGCUUUCUUCUGAACGAGGAUUUGGUUUUCCAUCACCUGGUUCUGCAGAAGCAUCCUGGUCUUGAUGACCAUGUGAACUGUUUUGGACAUUCCUCAGACCUGUCAGCUCAGCGUGCUUUUGUUCAUGUCUUCAAUAAAUCUUUUGGUUUAAAGAAUCCUUUUGCCUAAUGUUUUCUUUUGAAUGAAGUUAUUGGGUUUUAUUCGGGCUGUAUAAAAUUAUAAGAUCAAACUUGGGUAUUGCAGGAGCCAGUAGUGUUGGAAGGCACCAUACAUCUAGAAGGCUUUAAUUCCUGCCUUAGUGUAUUUAACUUGUGCUUGUCGCUUUUCCCUUGUGCUAGAACUUCUUAACCUAGCCUAAAUCAGCUUUUAAGUCUCUUAUUGCGUUACUUCUAGUCUAUGGGCUUUUAUAGCAUGCUAUAAUAAACUUCGCCAUAAUUGUAGUUCCUUGCCAUGUUUAUUUGCGUGUCUGCUACGUGAUCUGACGACACCGUGCUAAGUUUAUAGGAGUGUAGUUAAAUUAACCGCAGAGGGACUACAUUUGGAGAAAUCACAAACCAUGGACAGCAACUAUUAACA